CCUUGAUGUUCCUGCAUGGCCCAGGCCAACAGGCGGGAAUCUGAAAAUAAGCCACAAAAAGGAAUGGUCUGUGUGCAGAGUUAGGGUACGCUCUGGGUUAUGGCUCUCAGUAGCUAUUGCUGUGUAGAAUCUAACAGUGGCCUUACAGCUGCCCAGCUCUCCCAUUGCUGGCCUCUUUCCCUUCCAGUCCACUGCCCCCAUGGCUGCCAGAUUGACCUUCCUGAAGAACUGCUCUGAUGACUUCACUUUUCUGCCAGAAAACUUCCACUGGCCCCCAACUGGUUCAUGUACCUACUGGGGCCAGCAGGUAUCACAAAUGAAGGAAGUGGCUACACUAAGUGAAACAGGCACCCUUGGGAUCUGAAAGCCAGGAAACGUGUAACUUCUAUAAGGAAAUGUGCUUCUUCCCAUUUAUCUUGAAAACGAAGACCUUCUGGAUCUACAAUUGGUUUCCUGCCUUUAGUCAAGGCUUGGUACAAGAAGUAACUCACUUUCCUCUUUACUAUGUAACAACCAAACGAUUGUAUUAAUUAGCAUGUUGGUUUGAUCGCUGAAACAGAAAUCAAAGUACAAUGGCUUUCAUAAGGUAGUAGAAGGUUUAUUUACAAUUUAUAUGAAGACCUAUGCUGGUAGCUCGUCCUAGGGGUAGGGAGUGGGGCGGUUAGAGGGUUCUGCUCCAUGCAACCAACUGGGGACCCUGGUCUUUUCUAUCUUGUCCUCAGUAGUGGUUCUCAAAGUGUGAUCCAGGGAGUACUCAGGGGUUUCUGAGACCCUUUCAAAGGCCUGUAAGGUCAAAAUUAUUGUUAUAAGAAUACUGAGACAUUUUGGUCCUUUUCAUUUUUAUUCUCCCAUGAGUAUGCAGUAGAGAAUUCCAAAGGUUCUUAAAAAUAAUGGGAAAACUUGAAUUAGUAAGUUUUAUUUCAGUAUAUGUGUAUGUAUCUCAUUCAUUUAUUUAACCACCAUCUAUUAAGUACUUCUAGAAGUGCUGUUUACAUUCAUUCAACAGAUAUUGAUGGCACAUAAUAUUGGCAAAAUCUAGCAUGAGCUGCUUGAGGAUACAGGGAAGAACAAGAGACAUGGCCCCUGCCCUCAGGAAGCUAACAAUCUAGUGAAAAAGCCAGAUACCAAACUGCUAGGAACACAAUCAAUUAUCUCAUUAUAAUCAUGAUUAUGUUCAGAAGAGGGAUAGAGCUAUAAGAGCAAAACACUGGGACCGGAAGAGAUACUAAGAUGAUUGGGAGGUCUGAUAUUGGAUGUGCCACUGCAGGAAGCUGCACAACACUGACAUUAACGCUGUGAGAUUCUUUUAAAACCCUCAUUCUGGGACAUGAUUGAUGGCAGCCAGUCCUAUUCAGUUGCUGAGACAGAAGACCUGGGCAGACGGAGUAAGGAGCUUUCAGUGUCUCUACACCUGGCAUGUUAUCUUAUAUAGCUAGGGUGGAACAUGCAUCCCAGUUUGCUUGGGACAUGUUUUUGCUCCCUGUCUCAGUGAGUAUUACUAAAAUUUAGCCUCGUAACUGUUUUGACUUAAUAAGUUAUAUGGUUAUCCUACUUAUUGCUUUUACCAGAUUGUUAACUAGAAAGUGAUUUGAGCCAAAUUAUUAUCGUUACAUCUGUAGUGUGAUGGGUCCCCCACCAAGUUACUUAAGGAUGUAUGUCCACUGCCUGAAUUCUGAAGGCUGGGCAGUGAGCCAAGUCCAGGGUGCCCAACCGAGGAGCAGGUGUCUCUAAGAACCCAAACAUCCCAGUGAGUAUCUGAGAACCGAUCAAGAAAAACAGUCUCAUCACUCAAACACAGUAGGCAAAGAGCCAGGAAAUUAAUUUAAAAGCAGUUUGGAGUCGGGAGGUGGCGCAGAUCUCCAGCGCUGUCCUGCCGCUAUCCAGGAGUGCCAUGUACAUAAGUCCUGAUAGACUCAUCUACUCAUCAAGCUGGACUUGUCUGAAUCAUUCUUUGGUCUCUUAGCUCCUUCCCAGUUUGCAGGGGGAUGUUACAGUUCCAAGUUUUUCUUGUAGCAUUGCUUUGAAACAAGGAAACUGCUGUUCAGUUUCAGAAGGUAUUAUGAGUUGAGUUGUGUCUCCCCACCAAAAAAUAUGUGGGAGUCCUAACUGUCAGUACCUCAGAAUGUGAACUGAAACAGGGUUUUUAUAGAGGUAAUCAAUGUAAAGAUGAGGUCAUUAGCUGGGCCUAAUACAAUAAGACGGAUGUUUUUAUAAAAAGGGUAAAUUUGGGCCGGGUGCGGUGGUUCAUGCCUGUAAUCCCAGCACUUUGGGAGGCCGAGGUAGGCAGAUCACUUGAGGUCAGGAGUUUGAGACCAGCUUGGCCAGCAUAGUGAAACCCUGUCUCUACUAAAAAUACAAAAAUUAGCUGGGCGUGGUGGUGGGUGCCUGUAAUCCCAGCUACUUGGGAGCCUGAGGCAGGACAAUCACUUGAAUUUGGGAGGCAAAUGUUGCAGUAAGCCAAGAUCUCACCACUGUACU
This 2478-nucleotide long non-coding RNA is filed under the name Homo sapiens (human). Its description in RNAcentral is "HSALNT0306986". Lineage: Eukaryota; Metazoa; Chordata; Mammalia; Primates; Hominidae. The record is from RNAcentral.